AAAAAGAGAAAAAAUUUGAACAAAGUUCCAUUCUAUCGCGAUUCAAGAAUUUUCAAAGAAAAUUCCAGCAUCACCGAUGAUAUUUCCUAAAACAUGUAGUAUUAUAUAAAAUACAUAGCACAGCUGUCUUUUUCAUCAGGCACAAAAUCAUUCGCCUCUAAAUUCGACAUAAUCACUAAUAUCUCGCGUAUUUACAACAUAAAAUAAUGGACGCUAAUUAAUUUAAAUGAGGAAACAAACAUAACUCGUAAAAGCUGCCUGGAUUAAAAUUAGUAUAAAAUUAGCGUGUCUAAUUACAAAUGAAACUCGCUAAUUAUCGACCAUCAAGUGGAUACAAAAAGAGACAAAGAUAUAAUAUAAGAGAGCAACAAAGAGAUAAAAGAACGAAGAGGUCGAAGAAGACAGCGGACAGAACUCAACUAUCGCCUCUGGGGCUGAGUAAGGCACAGGACAAGUGAUAGGCACGGUAUUCCCCGCUGGAACGUUUAUAACGACUUCGCUCUUAUCGGUAAACUUCUCUAGCGUAGCAAGCGUCAAUCUUGCCGGGUCAGAAGCUAAACCACUCGAACCUAACAACGUAAAAUCAAAUUACCAAAUUGUAAUUUAAACAUUGUGAAAGAUGUUAAAGAAAAUGAAAUACAAAAAUAUUUACCAUAAAAUGCUAUACAACGGUAAUCACCGGCUUUGGAUUCAUUGUCAAAGUUCACUACGUGCCUGGACGUUUUCCCACCGUUACUAGACAUGUGAAAAACCUGCAACCACCUAUCCGAACCUAAUGGUCUAUGGCGCCAGGAGAAACGUUCUGCUCCGAGAUUCAAAUUGCAUUCAAAAUUCACAUCAUCUCCUAUUGGCGCGGCCAAAGGUUGCGGAUGUUUAGUGAAGAUCAUGCCUAGUUCUUGCUUCUGUCCUGUAAUUUAUACGAAUAAUUUAAUUCUCAUAGUAUUCAAUUUUUCUAGUCGCACGAAAAUACUAUUAAAAAUGAUACAAAUUGUAAUAUACUUGAAUGUAAUUAAUCAUGUGUAAAUACUUUCUUUAACCACUGUAUAUUAAAAUGUAAUGAAUAUCAUAAAUAAAAAAUAUAUAAGACAAAACUGACCAUGUGCAAAGCUGGUUAGGACAUGAAGUAGGACCGUGAUAACGGCAUAUAGAAAAAGCACAGGUCGCAUCUUGACUCAUUCUGCAAUCAAAGAAAACAAAAAUUACAAGUUAGUCACAUAUGUCGCUCUCAUUCUUAUUA
Molecule: unclassified non-coding RNA, 1237 nt
Filed under: Bombus terrestris (buff-tailed bumblebee)
Lineage: Eukaryota; Metazoa; Arthropoda; Insecta; Hymenoptera; Apidae
Description: misc RNA ENSBTSG00005030632.1
Source: RNAcentral